UACAGAGGGUGCAAGCGUUAAUCGGAAUUACUGGGCGUAAAGCGUGCGUAGACGGUUAUUUAAGUCGGGUGUGAAAGCCCCGGGCUCAACCUGGGAAUUGCAUUCGAGACUGAAUAGCUAGGGUGCGGAAGAGGGAAGCGGAAUUUCCGGUGUAGCGGUGAAAUGCGUAGAUAUCGGAGGGAACACCAGUGGCGAAAGCGGCUUCCUGGUCCAGCACCGACGUUCAGGCACGAAAGCUAGGGUAGCAAACGGG
Molecule: ribosomal RNA, 253 nt
Filed under: uncultured bacterium
Lineage: Bacteria
Description: partial 16S ribosomal RNA
Rfam family: Bacterial small subunit ribosomal RNA
Source: RNAcentral